GCGGUUUAGAAUUACUUGGUGCUCCUUACUAUAUCAGCAAUGCUUGAACACGAUGUUCAAGCAAGUUGCCACUGAGCCAUGGAUGGCGAAUUGGCAACGGUUGCGUUCGUAAAGAUGCAUGUUAUAGGAGCACCUAGAAAUUCUUAACUGC
Molecule: non-coding RNA, 151 nt
Filed under: human gut metagenome
Source: RNAcentral